Non-coding RNA from Podarcis lilfordi (Lilford's wall lizard), 91 nucleotides. Lineage: Eukaryota; Metazoa; Chordata; Lepidosauria; Squamata; Lacertidae. The record is from the annotation of a GenBank genome assembly.
GCCCCUUGCAGCUUUCUCAGAAACAUAGCUCAGUUGGGUGAGCACUAAAUUCUCGAUCUCAGGGUUGUGGAUUCGAGCCCCAUGUUGGGCA